UACGUAGGGGGCAAGCGUUGUCCGGAAUCAUUGGGCGUAAAGAGCGUGUAGGCGGCUUGGUAAGUCCGCUGUGAAAGUCCAGGGCUCAACCCUGGAAUGCCGGUGGAAACUGUCAAGCUUGAGUCCGGAAGAGGCGAGUGGAAUUCCUGGUGUAGCGGUGAAAUGCGCAGAUAUCGGGAAGAACACCCGUGGCGAAGGCGGCACUCUGGGACGGUACUGACGCUGAGACGCGAAAGCGUGGGGAGCGAACAGG
This 253-nucleotide ribosomal RNA is filed under the name uncultured bacterium. Its description in RNAcentral is "partial 16S ribosomal RNA". It matches the Rfam family "Bacterial small subunit ribosomal RNA", at positions 524 to 776 of the family's 1533-position model. The record is from RNAcentral.